Molecule: long non-coding RNA, 3015 nt
Filed under: Pan troglodytes (chimpanzee)
Lineage: Eukaryota; Metazoa; Chordata; Mammalia; Primates; Hominidae
Description: long non-coding RNA NONPTRT000488
Source: RNAcentral
UGAUAAGACAGGUUCCAGGUCAUACCAACUAAGGGACCAGAUGUGAUGUGCCCCUUCACAGAUUGGCCUGGGUUUGGAGGCUUCUGGAGAACUGUAAAGGGCAUCUAACCCAAUGCCCUCAUUUUACAGACGGGAAAAUGGGUCAUGGAGGAGUGACUUCACCAACAUCACUCAUAGGUGCUUGUGUCCAUGGUGAGAAGGGUGAUGGAGAGAAGUGGCUGCAGUUCCCACCCAUGGAGAGGUCACUGGUGAAUCCCAGCUAAAGAGGAAGGACAGGCCCGGCCUGAGUCCCACAGGUGGGCUCAGCCCCUCUCCUUACCGAAUGUAGCCAACUUGAGGCCGGUGCAGAAGCUGCCAGCGAUAGGAGGUCUUGUCCCGCCAGCCCACAUUUCGUGGGUCUGUCCACAGCAGUCGUACCUGAUCAGGGGUGUGGCCAGUAUGCCACAGGGCAUUUCGGAGGUGCUCACCUGGGCCAGACACUGAUGUCACUGCCUAGGAGACAUUGGCAAAGACAGUGAGUCAACUGCAGAACUGGAGUGAGGGGAGACAACAGGUCGGUAAGUGCAGGUGGGAAAGGGAUUCAAGGCGGUCAUGAAAAUGCCCUGGGGCCCCAGAGAGCCGGCCUCCAAGCCAGAUGUCUGGGUAAGAGGGUUCCCAGUCAAGCAGUGGGGGAGGCCCUGGGGCUGCAGAGGAGAGCUUUGGGAAAGGGCCCUGGGUUGCGGAAUCUGAGCAGCUGGGGACCUUGAGCUGCAGCCCGGGCUGGGCAACCGCCCGGAAGGGUGUAGCCUGCCAGUAGGUCUGCUCGGUCUGCUUCCACAUGACUACGUAGAAGCGGCCACUGUCUUGAUAACUGAAGAGAAAGCCUGCGUAGUCAUCAUCAGUCACUGUGUUCACAUGGAAGGUGCCUUCAAAGUCCACACCAUUGAAGGCCGUGUAUCCUGGGGUGGGGGUGGGAUAAAGGUCAGGGGCAGCAAAGCUACUGGCGGCCCAUCAUGGGGUAAAGUUGGGAAGGGAUGCCUGCUAUGUAUGUGGCCAGCUUGUGCCACCGCCUUCUCUCUCGCCACUUUGCCCAUUCUCCCUGUCUGUUUCCUCCCCUACCCUCUGCCCCUAUAGGAUUCCUCCAUUUGGAAGUGAUUGAACUGCAUAUCCCUUACAUACCAACUGCCAAGCCAGGGUCACUGUUCAUGGUCUGAACGAUUUCCAUGCCCUGGGGUUGUAUAGUAAAGAAAAAGCUGUGAUGCAGGUGUGCUAUCCCUCCCAGGCCCCCCGCCCCAGUAGCCCUGUCUGAUAGCACCUGCCCAGCCCACUGCCCCGAGUUACCUGGUUGAGCACAACCCAGUUUGGGUCAAUCUGAGCAUCACCCUCAGGAUCCAGGACGACGGUCUGAUAGGCCCGAAAAUCCGUAAGCGUUACCUCUGCACUUUCAGGACACACAUCCAGGGGGUCGACCACCGCAUCAUUGUCAAAGUCAUCCUCACACACAUCACCAACGCCAUUGCCUGGGCAGAGUGAGGCUGGGUGCUCAGGAAGGCCCUGGCCACUGCCAUUAGGCAACAAUACCAUCUGUUGGGCCUGCAUUCCUGACAUCUUUCCCCACCUUGCCCUUCCUCACUUCCCAACAGGGCUUGCUGCCUCCACCUGGGCAAAGGCAACACCAGUCUAACGUGCUCUGGGUCCACAGGCUUACCAUCUGAGUCCUUCUGAUUGGGAUUGGGUACCAGGCGGCAGUUAUCAGGACCAGGAGGCACAUAAUCUGGGAUGCCAUCAUUGUCAUCAUCCCCAUCACACUCAUCUCCAAGUCCAUCGUUAUCAGAGUCCAGCUGGGAGCUAUUUGGCAGCUGUGGGCAGUUGUCCUUGGUGUCCUGAUGCCCAUCCCCAUCGCUAAUCAGAAGAACAGGUUGGUGAAAGUCCUGAACUUUGUCUCCCCACCCAGAGGACAACUGGCCAGGAAAUCUGCCUGUUUCUUGUCUCACCCUCUAGUCCACACUCUGCCUAACGCUACGCCCUACCUCACAUUCCUAUUGACAUCUGCUGCAGGUAAUCUCUCCUCACCCAGGCCAACGUCCACAAGCCUGCCUCCCUACUUCACAGAGACUUCCUAGCUUCCCUGCUUCAUCCCCACCUGAUCCAAAUUCUCACAGGUCCCCCAGCCACCCCUUCAGCCCCAGGCCUGCACCAUCCCCAUCCACGUCGUUGUCACAGGCAUCUCCUUCCCCAUUGCCAUCUGUGUCCUUCUGGUCAUUGUUGGGAACGUUGGGGCAAUUGUCACAGGCAUCACCAAAUGAAUCUGUAUCUGAGUUCUGCUGGUCUUUGUUGGGGAACAGCCGGCAGUUGUCCUGGGCAGAGGGGUGGGAGGGGAAGGGUCAGGUCUCCCCUAAAUCACUUGUCAUCUUGCACCUACCUUGUCUCUGUAUCCUUUUCUAAGAUCACACCCUUGUGAUGGACAAACUGCUCAGUACAGUCCCACCCACCCAGCCUCCUUGUCCUGGGCACGAGGUUUUUGCCUCCCUGAUUUGGAGUAUUGGGCCCUUACUAGAGAGCUGCCAGAUGAGGUAAGUGAGGCAUGGAGAGGACAGGAGGAGGGGAGAGGAGCUUCAAGGGGCAGGGCAGUCUGGGAGUCACCUCAACAUUCUUGAUCCCAUCCCCAUCAGCAUCAUCAUCACACUGGUCCCCCACACCAUCAUUAUCAGCAUCUUCCUGCCCAGAGUUGGGUGUCAAAAGGCAGUUGUCCUAAAGUUCAGGGGAAGAGGAUGGAUGAGUUCUGGCCUGACCCAGCUUGGGCUCCCCACUACGCCCCCUUGCCCGCCUGCUCCCUGCACCUGUUUGCAGUGUUUGUUGUUGUCCAUGCAGGGCAGUGCUUGGUCUGGGUAGCCAUCGAUGUCUGUGUCAGUCCCACACACGUUCCCAUUCCCAGCCCAGCCCACGUUACACUAGGGCAACACAAAGGGUAGGAGCUAGCAGUUUGGUCUGGCUCCCCUCCUCCCUCUAUUUUCCCUGCUUCAGGUCCUAUUCUCC